RNAcentral lists this ribosomal RNA (449 nucleotides) under uncultured bacterium. Its description in RNAcentral is "partial 16S ribosomal RNA". It matches the Rfam family "Bacterial small subunit ribosomal RNA", at positions 29 to 523 of the family's 1533-position model. The record is from RNAcentral.
AACGAACGCUGGCGGCAUGCCUAACACAUGCAAGUCGAACGAAGCCUUCGGGCUUAGCGGCGCACGGGUGCGUAACGCGUGGGAAUCUGCCCUUUGGUUCGGAAUAACAGUUGGAAACGACUGCUAAUACCGGAUGAUGACGAAAGUCCAAAGAUUUAUCGCCAGAGGAUGAGCCCGCGUAGGAUUAGCUAGUUGGUGUGGUAAAGGCGCACCAAGGCGACGAUCCUUAGCUGAUCUGAGAGGAUGAUCAGCCACACUGGGACUGAGACACGGCCCAGACUCCUACGGGAGGCAGCAGUGGGGAAUAUUGGACAAUGGGCGAAAGCCUGAUCCAGCAAUGCCGCGUGAGUGAUGAAGGCCCUAGGGUUGUAAAGCUCUUUUACCCGGGAUGAUAAUGACAGUACCGGGAGAAUAAGCCCCGGCUAACUCCGUGCCAGCAGCCGCCGUAA